Molecule: small nuclear RNA, 164 nt
Organism: Apteryx haastii (Great spotted kiwi)
Lineage: Eukaryota; Metazoa; Chordata; Aves; Apterygiformes; Apterygidae
Gene: U1
Rfam family: U1 spliceosomal RNA
About the family: U1 is a small nuclear RNA (snRNA) component of the spliceosome (involved in pre-mRNA splicing). Its 5' end forms complementary base pairs with the 5' splice junction, thus defining the 5' donor site of an intron. There are significant differences in sequence and secondary structure between metazoan and yeast U1 snRNAs, the latter being much longer (568 nucleotides as compared to 164 nucleotides in human).
Source: Ensembl
GUACUUACCUGUCAGGGGAGACACCAUGAUCAGGCAGGUGACUUUCCCAGGGUGAGGCUCAUCCCAUGCACUCCGGUUGUGCUGACCCCUGCAAUUUCGCCAAAUGUGGGAAACCCAACUGCAUAAUUUGUGGUAGUGGGGUACUGCGUUUGCGCUAUUUUUAU